GACGAACGCUGGCGGCGUGCUUAACACAUGCCAGUCGAACGGAAAGGCCCUGCUUGCAGGGUACUCGAGUGGCGAACGGGUGAGUAACACGUGGGUGAUCUGCCCUGCACUUCGGGAUAAGCCUGGGAAACUGGGUCUAAUACCGGAUAGGAGCCAUUUUUAGUGUGAUGGUUGGAAAGUUUUUUCGGUGUAGGAUGAGCUCGCGGCCUAUCAGCUUGUUGGUGGGGUAAUGGCCUACCAAGGCGGCGACGGGUAGCCGGCCUGAGAGGGUGGACGGCCACAUUGGGACUGAGAGACGGCCCAGACUCCUACGGGAGGCAGCAGUGGGGAAUAUUGCACAAGGGGCGCAAGCCUGAUGCAGCGACGCCGCGUGGGGGAUGACGGCCUUCGGGUUGUAAACUCCUUUCGCUAGGGACGAAGCUUUUUGUGACGGUACCUAGAUAAGAAGCACCGGCUAACUACGUG
This 465-nucleotide ribosomal RNA is filed under the name uncultured bacterium. Its description in RNAcentral is "partial 16S ribosomal RNA". It matches the Rfam family "Bacterial small subunit ribosomal RNA", at positions 28 to 507 of the family's 1533-position model. The record is from RNAcentral.